GAGAAAAUAAUUCACAGAAAGAGCUAGAGUGUCGAGGUAGAGGUAGCAAUUUUAAAUGGAGUUGUUAGGGAAAUCCUCACUGAGAAGGUAACAUUUGGUGAAAAAAAAAAAAAAAAGUGGCGAGCAAGGGAACCAUCCAGAUAGGGGGCUUGUAGGUGGUGGGAGAUACGUGGGAUGAAUUGGGACACUUUGAGUUGCAUGUUUGAGAAGUAAUAUGAAGGCAGAGAGCGGAUAGGAGCUGCGGAACAGAUGGACCAAAUGGACGGGCAAGAUGCCGCAAACACAGGCAGGGGCGGGGGCAGACUGAGGGUGAAGUGAGUAGCACCGCAGAUCGGGCGUGAAGCCGCACUGGCUGGAAGGUGCCACUGUUAGCAGAGGAGCGGGGGCUGCUCGUGGGACUCCAGAGCCCAUCUUGUCUUUCAUGCCCACAGAUGGAGAUGGGUGUCGUGAGCUGGUGGUGGGCUACACAGACCGUGUGGUGCGAGCUUUCCGCUGGGAGGAGCUAGGUGAGGGUCCUGAACAUCUGACAGGGCAGUUGGUGUCCCUCAAGAAAUGGAUGCUGGAGGGUCAGGUGGACAGCCUCUCAGUGACUCUGGGGCCACUGGGUCUUCCUGAACUGAUGGUGUCUCAGCCAGGCUGUGCGUAUGCAAUUCUACUGUGUACCUGGAAAAAGGACACUGGAUCCCCUCCUGCCUCUGAAGGGCCCACGGAUGGCAGUAGGGAGACCCCAGCUGCCCGAGACGUGGUGCUGCACCAGACAUCUGGCCGUAUCCACAACAAGAAUGUCUCCACUCACCUAAUUGGCAACAUCAAACAAGGCCACGGCACUGAGAGUAGUGGCUCUGGCCUCUUUGCCCUGUGCACCCUGGAUGGGACACUGAAGCUCAUGGAAGAAAUGGAAGAAGCAGACAAGCUGCUGUGGUCAGUGCAGGUGGAUCACCAGCUCUUUGCCCUGGAGAAAUUGGAUGUCACCGGCAACGGGCAUGAGGAGGUAGUUGCUUGCGCCUGGGAUGGACAGACAUAUAUCAUUGAUCACAACCGCACCGUCGUCCGCUUCCAAGUGGAUGAAAAUAUCCGUGCCUUCUGUGCAG
Molecule: small RNA, 1091 nt
Filed under: Pan troglodytes (chimpanzee)
Lineage: Eukaryota; Metazoa; Chordata; Mammalia; Primates; Hominidae
Description: retained intron
Source: RNAcentral